This 253-nucleotide ribosomal RNA is filed under the name uncultured bacterium. Its description in RNAcentral is "partial 16S ribosomal RNA". It matches the Rfam family "Bacterial small subunit ribosomal RNA", at positions 524 to 776 of the family's 1533-position model. The record is from RNAcentral.
UACAGAGGGGGCAAGCGUUGUUCGGAAUUACUGGGCGUAAAGGGCGCGUAGGCGGCCCGCUAAGUCGAACGUGAAAUCCCCGAGCUCAACUCGGGAACUGCGUCCGAUACUGGUGGGCUUGAAUCCGGGAGAGGGAUGCGGAAUUCCAGGUGUAGCGGUGAAAUGCGCAGAUAUCGGGAGGAACACCAGUAACGAAGGCGGCUCGCUGGGCCGUUCCUGACGCUGAGACGCGAAAGCUAGGGGAGCGAACAGG